This 376-nucleotide ribosomal RNA is filed under the name uncultured bacterium. RNAcentral's name for it is "bacterial SSU rRNA". It matches the Rfam family "Bacterial small subunit ribosomal RNA", at positions 524 to 898 of the family's 1533-position model. The record is from RNAcentral.
UACGUAGGGAGCGAGCGUUGUCCGGAAUUACUGGGCGUAAAGGGCGCGUAGGCGGGAUUUUAAGUCAGGUGUGAAAACGUAGGGCUCAACUUUACGAUUGCACUUGAAACUGGAAUUCUUGAGGACAGGAGAGGAAAGUGGAAUUCCUAGUGUAGCGGUGAAAUGCGUAGAUAUUAGGAGGAACACCAGUGGCGAAGGCGACUUUCUGGACUGUAACUGACGCUGAGGCGCGAAAGCGUGGGGAGUGAACGGGAUUAGAUACCCCGGUAAUCCACGCUGUAAACGAUGGGUACUAGGUGUAGGAGGUGUCGACCCCUUCUGUGCCGGAGUUAACGCAAUAAGUACCCCGCCUGGGGAGUACGGCCGCAAGGUUGAA